RNAcentral lists this ribosomal RNA (536 nucleotides) under Lachnotalea glycerini. RNAcentral describes it as "bacterial SSU rRNA". It matches the Rfam family "Bacterial small subunit ribosomal RNA", at positions 1005 to 1533 of the family's 1533-position model. Lineage: Bacteria; Bacillati; Bacillota; Clostridia; Lachnospirales; Lachnospiraceae. The record is from RNAcentral.
AAUGGACUAUUUCUUUCGGGACAGAGGAGACAGGUGGUGCAUGGUUGUCGUCAGCUCGUGUCGUGAGAUGUUGGGUUAAGUCCCGCAACGAGCGCAACCCUUAUCUUUAGUAGCCAGCAUGUAAGAUGGGCACUCUAGAGAGACAGCCGGGGAUAACCCGGAGGAAGGCGGGGAUGACGUCAAAUCAUCAUGCCCCUUAUGAUUUGGGCUACACACGUGCUACAAUGGCGUAAACAAAGGGAAGCGAAGUCGUGAGGCCAAGCAAAUCCCAAAAAUAACGUCUCAGUUCGGAUUGUAGUCUGCAACUCGACUACAUGAAGCUGGAAUCGCUAGUAAUCGCGAAUCAGAAUGUCGCGGUGAAUACGUUCCCGGGUCUUGUACACACCGCCCGUCACACCAUGGGAGUUGGAAAUGCCCGAAGUCAGUGACCCAACCGUAAGGAGGGAGCUGCCGAAGGUGGAGCCGAUAACUGGGGUGAAGUCGUAACAAGGUAGCCGUAUCGGAAGGUGCGGCUGGAUCACCUCCUUUCUAAGGAA